Molecule: ribosomal RNA, 406 nt
Filed under: uncultured bacterium
Lineage: Bacteria
Description: partial 16S ribosomal RNA
Rfam family: Bacterial small subunit ribosomal RNA
Source: RNAcentral
AUUGAACGCUGGCGGCAGGCCUAACACAUGCAAGUCGAACGAGUGGCGGACGGGUGAGUAAUGUCUGGGAAACUGCCUGAUGGAGGGGGAUAACUACUGGAAACGGUAGCUAAUACCGCAUACCAUCGGAUGUGCCCAGAUGGGAUUAGCUAGUAGGUGGGUUAACGGCUCACCUCGGCGACGAUCCCUAGCUGGUCUGAGAGGAUGACAAGCCCGACUGGAACUGAGACACGGGCCGGACGCCUACGGGAGGCAGAAGUGGGGAAUAUUGCACAAUGGGCGCAAGCCUCAUGCAGCCAUGCCGCGUGUAUGAAGAAGGCCUUCGGGUUGUAAAGUACUUUCAGCGGGGAGGCGUUACCCGAAGAAGAAGCACAGGCUAACUCCGUGCCAGCAGGCGCGGUAAUUC